AAUAGAUACCCAGGUAGUCCACCCCGUAAACGUUGGGAACUAGUUGUGGGGUCCUUUCCACGGGAUUCCGUGACGCAGCUAAACGCAUUAAGUUCCCCGCCUGGGGAGUACGGCCGCAAGGCUAAAACUCAAAGGAAUUGACGGGGACCCGCACAAGCGGCGGAGCAUGCGGAUUAAUUCGAUGCAACGCGAAGAACCUUACCAAGGCUUGACAUACACCAGAACACCCUAGAAAUAGGGGACUCUUUGGACACUGGUGAACAGGUGGUGCAUGGUUGUCGGCAGCUCGUGUCGUGAGAUGUUGGGUUAAGUCCCGCAACGAGCGCAACCCUCGUUCUAUGUUGCCAGCACGUAAUGGUGGGAACUCAUGGGAUACUGCCGGGGUCAACUCGGGAGGAAGGUGGGGAUGACGUCAAAUCAUCAUGCCCCUUAUGUCUUGGGCUUCACGCAUGCUACAAUGGCCGGUACAAAGGGCUGCAAUACCGUGAGGUGGAGCGAAUCCCAAAAAGCCGGUCCAGUUCGGAUUGAGGUCUGCAACUCGACCUC
This 546-nucleotide ribosomal RNA is filed under the name uncultured bacterium. RNAcentral's name for it is "bacterial SSU rRNA". It matches the Rfam family "Bacterial small subunit ribosomal RNA", at positions 777 to 1319 of the family's 1533-position model. The record is from RNAcentral.